GCUCCCGCGAGGUCAGAGCCGGGCUGUGCUGCUGCCCCCGGGACUAGAAAGGGAAAUCUCCUUGCUAGAGGAGGAAGCCCUAAGAACUCAAGGGAGAUAGGGGUAGCAGGGGCAUUUCCCUGGAUGCCUGGAGCAUGGAGGGUGCGAAAUAAGGAAGCUUUCCUACCCCGUUGAUGAGCUGAAGUUGAUUCCGCACGGGGAAGGAAAGGGACAGGAAGCAUAAUUGGAUGUGCAAGCCUGUGGUUCUUCAGGAAGUUAACACGUGGAACUAACACUGUUGGAUGCUGCUGAACUCUCAGAUGAUUGAUGUGACUAACCUCCUCUGAGAAAAAUCAUCAUUGACAUCCAACACCAGCACUGGAAUGUUCAUCAGAGCCUCAAAGUGGAGCCUACAAGAAGCAUGAACGUUUGGGGGGACAGAAAAAAAGAAAACUUGAGUCCAGUUUCACAUACUCACAAGUCUUACUCAGAGAACAGAUCUAAAUUCAACAUGACUUUUCAAAGAAACUGCAUGUAAACUGCAUUUAAAAAAACAAAUUCAAGAAAGUUGGCUGGAAACAG
This 561-nucleotide non-coding RNA is filed under the name Pongo abelii (Sumatran orangutan). The record is from RNAcentral. Lineage: Eukaryota; Metazoa; Chordata; Mammalia; Primates; Hominidae.